GCGUCGGUGGUGUAAGGCGCAGCAUCGCUGCCCGGAAAGUAGAAGGUGCGGGUUCGAGUUUCGCCUGGCGCA
Non-coding RNA from Heligmosomoides polygyrus, 72 nucleotides. Lineage: Eukaryota; Metazoa; Nematoda; Chromadorea; Rhabditida; Heligmosomidae. The record is from Rfam.